Molecule: ribosomal RNA, 169 nt
Filed under: Solibacillus silvestris
Lineage: Bacteria; Bacillati; Bacillota; Bacilli; Caryophanales; Caryophanaceae
Description: partial 23S ribosomal RNA
Rfam family: Bacterial large subunit ribosomal RNA
Source: RNAcentral
UUUUGGUUAAGUUAAUAAGGGCGCACGGUGGAUGCCUUGGCACUAGGAGUCGAUGAAGGACGGCACUAACACCGAUAUGCCUCGGGGAGCUGUAAGUAAGCUUUGAUCCGGGGAUUUCCGAAUGGGGGAACCCACUAUCUUUAAUCGGAUAGUAUCUUCACGUGAAUUC